GACGAACGCUGGCGGCGUGCCUAAUACAUGCAAGUCGAACGGACAGGCCCGGCUUUUGUGGGGUGCUCGAGUGGCGAACGGGUGUGUAACACGUGAGUAACCCGCCCUUGACUUUGGGAUAACUUCAGGAAACUGGGGCUAAUACCGGAUAGGAGCUCUUGCUGCAUGGUGGGGGUUGGAAAGUUUCGGCGGUAGGAGAUGGACUCGCGGCUUAUCAGCUUGUUGGGGGGGUAGUGGCUUACGAAGGCUUUGACGGGUAGCCGGCCUGAGAGGGUGACCGGGCACCAGAGGCCUGAGGUACGGCCCAGACGGCAACGGGAGGCAGCGGUGGAGAGUAUGGCAGAGUGAGCGCGAGCCAGAUGCGGAGGCGCCGGGUGCGGGAUAACGUGCUUCGAGUUAUGAACCGCUUUCGCAUGUAACGAAGCGUGAGUGACGGUAAUGGGUAAGAAAGCAACGGCUAACUACGUG
RNAcentral lists this ribosomal RNA (468 nucleotides) under uncultured bacterium. RNAcentral describes it as "partial 16S ribosomal RNA". It matches the Rfam family "Bacterial small subunit ribosomal RNA", at positions 28 to 507 of the family's 1533-position model. The record is from RNAcentral.